This is a long non-coding RNA of Leptopilina heterotoma, 532 nucleotides long. RefSeq lists it as uncharacterized. The record is from RefSeq and is a predicted model, not a curated record. NCBI's taxonomy places the organism in Eukaryota, Metazoa, Arthropoda, Insecta, Hymenoptera, Figitidae. The transcript is spliced from 3 exons.
CUAUGUUGAUAAACCCACAUUUUUCAUCAGUGUUGAAAAAUCUAUUGCUGAUUAAUAAUUCAUAGUCAGUACAAAUCACUGGAGUGAAAGAGAAUUGGACUUGAAACAACUGAUGUGGAGGCAUGUUGACCAGAAAAACUUUUAAAUGAGUUAUUUACUUCAGGACUGGAAUUAGCCUAAAUCAAGGGAAAAAAUACUUGGACAAUAAUCAAAAAGUGGUAUAAAAGAGGACUAUUGAAUCAAAUCCGUCAUUGAUUUGAGAUCAAUUCAAAAUAUUCCACAUACUUUUCACGUAUUGUUGAAGAUGAAUGAAAGGAUAAUUCAAUUCUCUGGACAAAAUCGGUAUAAAUUAGGAUUUUUUCAACCAAACUGAAACUUUGUUAUUGGAGGGGAUACAAAUGCAAAGGUGAUACUAUUAUUUUAUGAUUUAAAAAAUUUAAUUUAAAUCACAUAAGUGAUAGGAAAAAUAUUAAGUAGCAUAAGUUAAAAAAGACAUAUUUUGUUUUUUACGAUAUAAAAUCUAAGGUUAAUU